This 253-nucleotide ribosomal RNA is filed under the name uncultured bacterium. RNAcentral describes it as "partial 16S ribosomal RNA". It matches the Rfam family "Bacterial small subunit ribosomal RNA", at positions 524 to 776 of the family's 1533-position model. The record is from RNAcentral.
UACGAAGGGGGCUAGCGUUGUUCGGAAUUACUGGGCGUAAAGCGCACGUAGGCGGACAUUUAAGUCAGGGGUGAAAUCCCAGAGCUCAACUCUGGAACUGCCUUUGAUACUGGGUGUCUCGAGUCCGGAAGAGGUGAGUGGAAUUCCGAGUGUAGAGGUGAAAUUCGUAGAUAUUCGGAGGAACACCAGUGGCGAAGGCGGCUCACUGGUCCGGUACUGACGCUGAGGUGCGAAAGCGUGGGGAGCAAACAGG